UACGGAAGGCAGCAGUGGGGAAUAUUGCACAAUGGGCGCAAGCCUGAUGCAGCCAUGCCGCGUGUAUGAAGAAGGCCUUCGGGUUGUAAAGUACUUUCAGUCGUGAGGAAGGUGUUAAGGUUAAUAACCUUAGCAAUUGACGUUAGCGACAGAAGAAGCACCGGCUAACUCCGUGCCAGCAGCCGCGGUAAUACGGAGGGUGCGAGCGUUAAUCGGAAUUACUGGGCGUAAAGGGCACGCAGGCGGUUAAUAAGUUGGAUGUGAAAUCCCCGGGCUUAACCUGGGAAUGGCAUUCAAGACUGGUUAGCUAGAGUCUUGUAGAGGGGGUAGAAUUCCAUGUGUAGCGGUGAAAUGCGUAGAGAUGUGGAGGAAUACCGGGUGGCGAAGGCGGCCCCUGGGACAAGACUGACGCUCAUGUGCGAAAGCGUGGGGAGCGAAACAGGGAUUAGAUACC
Molecule: ribosomal RNA, 454 nt
Filed under: uncultured bacterium
Lineage: Bacteria
Description: bacterial SSU rRNA
Rfam family: Bacterial small subunit ribosomal RNA
Source: RNAcentral